Molecule: long non-coding RNA, 2196 nt
Organism: Cynoglossus semilaevis (tongue sole)
Lineage: Eukaryota; Metazoa; Chordata; Actinopteri; Pleuronectiformes; Cynoglossidae
Exons: 3
Source: RefSeq, a predicted model, not a curated record
UCCCUCAGGCCUCUUGUGAUUAAGCCCCCCAUGCCCCAGCCAGCCCUUCCCAGUCUUAUCAAAAAUGUAUUUGACACAUAUUAUUAUAUGGAGCCUCGGAGCGCUGUAUUGGCUCUAGCACAUCUCACCAGAGGCAGGUUCAUUACCCACAAACCAACUGGUGCCCAGAAGGACAGACUCAUGUUAUAUCUUAGCCUUCAGCUGAAAUACUGUCAGUGUCUAAACUUUAAAGAGCAAAGGGGGCUUCUUGACCUUUUCUUUGACCUCAGUGGACAACAACAGAGUGGUUUGUUUAUUCUAGAAUCUAUAAGUCUGGUUAUCCCCAGGGUGAACUUUUAGUGUGACAUAAGAAAGAAUGUAUGCCACAGAAAAAGAGAUUAGUCAGAAAAGAAAACACAACACAAACUUGGUCUAAAGGUCAGGGGUCAUGUCAUAAAGAAUCAGUAAAUAAAUGAAUGAAUGAACUGUAUACUUCUAAUGCUGUUUAGUUGUGAUCACUGGUGAACAUGUAGCUGUUUACACAUCUCUAAUGCUAAAAGUAUUUUCAUUUGUGUACCUGCUGAUACCAAUGUAGUACUUUUAAGGUUGGGUCUCAGUAAAUAUGCAUUGAACUGAAUCUCUGUGUUAUAUGUUUGGUACAAAUGAUAACUUUCUGCACAGCUGACACAGCCAGCAGAACAGACAGUGAGCAGAGCUUUAACGCUAACAGUGCUUUUCAAUGUAAAACACUGUCUUCUGCCUUGCAGUUAAUUAAGUGUCACUUAAACUGAGGAGCACUGUUGACAUCAGAUGAUCCGAUAACCUGGGGCAAAACUGUGAACCAUGUGAUUGAGGCCCAAUAUCUUUCCUGGACGCCAAAAAGAGACUGAAAAUAAUCUCACUUCUAUUUUCUGCAUUUAAGAUUUCCUGUGAGUGUAGCAUUCAGAUGGACGACCUGCCACUGAUAUUGUUUCUUUUCUCCAUUUAAAUUUGAACUAGAAAGAAAAGCAGAAAUCCCUGUCUGGCACUGAGACAAAGAGAUGAACUGAAAAGGGAGAAUUGAAAGAAAUCAGUGGGGGAGAAAGAGAGAGGGACAGGGAGAGAGAGACUCAGAGAGAAAGGGAGAGAGAAAGAGAGAGGGAGAGUCGUACUGACCUUUAGAUGAGUCACCGAGACACAGUGUCUUCUUACUUUACAGAACUGUUGCAGCUAGUUCAGAAUUACUUUUCCAUAACCUUUUAAUAACUUAUUUGACAAAAGUGUUGUUUAACGUCUCCAAAUUUCAACUAUUUUACCUUUAACUAAAAGCUAUCCUCCACACUUUCUGGCUUCAUGUGUUCUAUAAUUUAGCUCCUUCAGAUCAAACUGAAGGGACAGAAAGAAGACAACUGACGCCACGGCGUGGAAAGACACCGGACACUGGAGAAGUACUAUCACACGGCUCUUGGCAGUGGAGCAAAGCAGUAAAUGAAGUGCUUCAUGGAAGGGAAGCCUCACGGGGGUGAAGGAUUGUGGUUUCUCAAGGAUGGCCAGGGCAGUUCCCAUGACGACGAAUACCAACAUGACAGAGUGAUCACAAGAAUUAAGAUUAGCUGCUGCUGCUACUGGUUCUGUCUGGACGUGCCAAAGGAAGAAGGUGCGUGGCGAGUGAAUCUGUGGAAACCAGAGCUCUUUGCCAUAACACAAGAGGCUUAACAUCCAUUCACAGUUGUUAAACUGAAAAACAAUGUCUGACAAAUACAUAUAUAUGUGUACAGGUAUAUGUAUCAUAUACAGGACCAAACCACAUACAGAGACAAUGCUCUAAAAUGUGUUUUGAAGUAUGCAGUGUUUAAAUAUAUUAACCCCAGUGCAGACAAUGUUACCUGGGGAGGACGAGCAGCCCACUAGACCAUGUUAUUUAUAAAACCCCAGAGUGAGUAACGUCUGUCUCCUGAGAAGCGACAAUAAAGUUACUUCCAGUUCAGCACUGUGUCAGUGUCAUUAACAUAAAUGUCAGGAACAUAAAUCAUGGUCCUGACUGAAGUGAAACAGAGAGAAGACUCAUCUGUCAUGCACUGCUGACAGAGGAGGAAGCUUCAACACUGAGCCACAGCCCUACACUGUGUCGAUGUACUGGUGCAGUGGUCUCCAACCUUUUGUUUUCUCAGAGCUACUUUUACAAAAUAAAAAUGGCAGAGAUUUACUCAUGUUGUGGAAUUUAUUUUCAUAGCUCGA